GUAGUCCACGCCGUAAACGUUGGGCACUAGGUGUGGGGUCUAUUCAACGGACUCCGUGCCGUAGCUAACGCAUUAAGUGCCCCGCCUGGGGAGUACGGCCGCAAGGCUAAAACUCAAAGGAAUUGACGGGGGCCCGCACAAGCAGCGGAGCAUGUUGCUUAAUUCGAGGCAACGCGAAGAACCUUACCUGGGUUUGACAUGUAGAGAAAAGCCAUAGAGAUAUGGUGUCCUUCGGGGUUCUACACAGGUGGUGCAUGGUUGUCGUCAGCUCGUGUCGUGAGAUGUUGGGUUAAGUCCCGCAACGAGCGCAACCCUUGUCCUAUGUUGCCAGCACGUAAUGGUGGGGACUCGUAGGAGACUGCCGGGGUCAACUCGGA
RNAcentral lists this ribosomal RNA (377 nucleotides) under uncultured bacterium. Its description in RNAcentral is "bacterial SSU rRNA". It matches the Rfam family "Bacterial small subunit ribosomal RNA", at positions 790 to 1167 of the family's 1533-position model. The record is from RNAcentral.